This 131-nucleotide ribosomal RNA is filed under the name Peromyscus maniculatus bairdii (prairie deer mouse). Lineage: Eukaryota; Metazoa; Chordata; Mammalia; Rodentia; Cricetidae. The record is from RNAcentral.
AAUUACAGCCACACCAUCCUGGAUGAGCCCCAUCUUGUCUGAUCCUGGAAGCUAGGCAGGGUUGAACUGGAUAGCACUUGCAUGAGAGACAGGUAUGUCGACAUGCCUGUGAGAAAGGAGUUGUGUGGUCU